RNAcentral lists this ribosomal RNA (420 nucleotides) under Salmonella enterica subsp. enterica serovar Kentucky. Its description in RNAcentral is "bacterial SSU rRNA". It matches the Rfam family "Bacterial small subunit ribosomal RNA", at positions 1124 to 1533 of the family's 1533-position model. Lineage: Bacteria; Pseudomonadati; Pseudomonadota; Gammaproteobacteria; Enterobacterales; Enterobacteriaceae. The record is from RNAcentral.
GGUCCGGCCGGGAACUCAAAGGAGACUGCCAGUGAUAAACUGGAGGAAGGUGGGGAUGACGUCAAGUCAUCAUGGCCCUUACGACCAGGGCUACACACGUGCUACAAUGGCGCAUACAAAGAGAAGCGACCUCGCGAGAGCAAGCGGACCUCAUAAAGUGCGUCGUAGUCCGGAUUGGAGUCUGCAACUCGACUCCAUGAAGUCGGAAUCGCUAGUAAUCGUGGAUCAGAAUGCCACGGUGAAUACGUUCCCGGGCCUUGUACACACCGCCCGUCACACCAUGGGAGUGGGUUGCAAAAGAAGUAGGUAGCUUAACCUUCGGGAGGGCGCUUACCACUUUGUGAUUCAUGACUGGGGUGAAGUCGUAACAAGGUAACCGUAGGGGAACCUGCGGUUGGAUCACCUCCUUACCUGAAAGAA